GCUGCCGGCUGCUCUGUCGCGGUUGCCGGGUACGCCCGGCAGGUGAGGAAAGUCCGGACAACGUAGAGCGCCACGCCACCUAACGGGUGGGCUUCGGCUUACGCCGGGGACAGAAAGUGCCACAGAAAGCUAUACCGCCUAUACCGUAGCUGUUGGCAGGUGGGCAAGCCCGCCUUCGCCGAGGCUUCGGUGGGCAAGGGUGAAAACGUGCGGUAAGAGCGCACGCUCUGCUUUGGCAACAAAGCGGAGGGGUAAACCUCGUGGGUUGAAAUGUCACGUACAUCCCGAUCGGGCAUACGCCUGGCUGAGUUGCUCGCUCAGCUCACUCCGGUGAUUCGGGAGGGGUAGACAGCUCGACCCUGCUCGUGAGGGCAGGGCUAGAUAAAUGACAGAGGUCCCGGUUUGACCGGGAUACAGAAUCCGGCUUACAGGCUUGCAGCAAAA
Non-coding RNA from Saprospiraceae bacterium, 444 nucleotides. It matches the Rfam family "Bacterial RNase P class A". From Rfam's summary of the family: Ribonuclease P (RNase P) is a ubiquitous endoribonuclease, found in archaea, bacteria and eukarya as well as chloroplasts and mitochondria. Its best characterised activity is the generation of mature 5'-ends of tRNAs by cleaving the 5'-leader elements of precursor-tRNAs. The record is from Rfam. NCBI's taxonomy places the organism in Bacteria, Pseudomonadati, Bacteroidota, Saprospiria, Saprospirales, Saprospiraceae.